Alligator mississippiensis (American alligator) is the source of this 4281-nucleotide long non-coding RNA. RefSeq lists it as uncharacterized. The record is from RefSeq and is a predicted model, not a curated record. NCBI's taxonomy places the organism in Eukaryota, Metazoa, Chordata, Crocodylia, Alligatoridae. The transcript is spliced from 2 exons.
GCGGAAGUGGAAGCAGAAGGUUCCGGCGGCCGCAGCCCCGCCCCCGACUUCCCGCGCGGCGAGGCUGCGGGGUUAACCCUGUCCUCGCCGGGCGGGCUCGACGGCGUUUCGCGAGGCUGAACAAGAGCGGUCGGUUUGACGGAUGGCCGCGGGACGGAGGACGCGGCCUCUUCCGGCUGAGAGCGGGAGCUGCCUCUUCAGCUCGGCCCGUGGCCUUUGCAGCACUGGGGGGGGGGGGGGGCUGUCCCGGUUACACCCUCCAAAGAGGGUAAGGCCUCAUCAUUGCACUUCUGGCCUGCGUUUGCACAUCGUAUGAAGCGCAGCACUCCUUUUAGCCCUGCAGUCGCUGGCUCUCUAGGCAAAUCUGGCACCUCCCUGACUUACAAACUUUACAGUGCGUUGACAGCAGGAAUGAACCUGCCAGGGGUAAGAGGUGGCGCUCUGUCUCCUGCAGGACAUGAAUCUGUUGCCAUGUUCAAAGCUGCUUGCAUCAAUCCAGCAGGCCAAUGCACAGUUGCCCUACACGGGCUCGACUUCUCCAGGCCCUUGCCCGACACACUCAACUUCUCCCUCUGGCUUUAUUGUACCCCCGAGAAAUUCCUUUGAAGAAAUGUCCUUCCCGGACCAGGCCUCCGCGGACACUUGUUUGCCUUGAUCCCUGCCAUUUUAGGCCACAAGCAAGCCAAGGUUUGGGCAGCGCUCUCAAAUGGUUUUCAGUGCAACCCCCGCCCGCUGGCCGUCAGGGCAAUCUGAAUACACAGAGCUUAGAAAAGUCGACUUUUCAGCAGGACGGUUCUGUACAGCUGUGCGGCCGGUUUGCUGCGAUCGGCCCCAGCUUAAAAAGGAGAACAUCCUGAGAAACCAGCUUCUGUCGACGCCAGAGAGUCUGGGUCUAAACUAAAUAUGAAAUAUCCCCAAGGAAGCUUGGGUGCCUUCUCAGAGGUUCGAGCGCUUUUACCUCCGGGUAGCCCUGGUGAGGGAUACUAGGCUCCAGCCAGGUUCUUGCUGGGUUUGGUGACCCCAGCGAAGGUGCCAUUUCAAGCUGCGCUGCCCUGUUUAUUCCCGAGCUGUGGAGAAGACUGUAACCUGGUUUCCUUUAGUGAUCUGGCCCUGUAGCUGCUCAGGCCAGCGCUGAAGCAGCCACAACAAUGCUGGUGGCAAUUUUGAUGGGCCACAGGGUGGCAGUGGAGGCAAAGGUAAGAGGCUUCAUGCUGUCAGAGGCAGAGCAUGGAGCUCCCUAAGCUGGCAGGGGCCUCCCCUCUUUGAAUCUGCAUCUCCUCUUUGCCAUUAGCAGAUCAUUUUGAACAGGGGGAGUAGACGGUGCAGUGUAAUGUCACGCAGAACAUGACACACAUUUUCCUCCAAGUAAAAGGAAACUAGAAGCUUUACUAAUAUAUUAGGGCAGUGACUUUCAACCUGUGGACUGUGGACCCCUGCAGACUAUGUUUAAAGGGUCCGCAAAAGAUGACUGUGAUCAAUCAAAAGUAUGUGAAGACCCACACUUACCAUUGAAAGGGUAUGUGCCUCCAUACAGAAUUUUUUAGGGGUCCACAAAUAAAAAAAGGUUGAAAAACCACAGCUCUAGGGGCCGAGGGCUGUAGUAUUCAGUUAAGAUCCAAGUAAAAAUGAACAUGAUUUUAUUGGAACACACUCAUUUGCUAGCUUAUAUAUUAAGUUUAAAAAACACACCAAGCUAGGGAUAAUAUAUUGUUUUAUUAGUCCUGUAGUCAUUAGAGUUAAAUGUAUGUCUUAUUCAGAUUUGUAAAACACCAUCUAACCUUGAGCAUCUUUUCAGUGUACCCAACACUUCCCAGUCAGUGAUUUCCACACCUGAGUGUCACAACCAAAUUAAUCAGUGCCCAUGUCACUAGCAAGAGAUGCUCACAGCAGUCAAUUAAGGGUUAAAGAAAUCUCUAUCCAGAAGUUCCUGAGAAAAAAAUCCAAGCAAGAGCGGUAUAUAAUUUAUGCCCACGUCACAAACGAGAAACGAAACUUAAGACUGGUCAGGGUGAAAGGGGAUAGCCCUGCCAUAAAUCCCUGCAAUAAAACCCGGAGGGAAAACUGUAAAUAAUUGGUGAGCUGAAAUAAAAUGCUAGGGAAAACUAUAUAUAAUUGGUCAAAAAAUAAGCGUAAGCUCCUCACACGUAACAGGUAGAGAAACCUAACCCACUACCUUGUAACUUGAGACAAAGAGCUGCUACCUGCCAAAAAAAAAUUCCAUAUAACAGUUCACAAUUGGGUAUCUCUGUGAAACACCUCUGCCUAUAAAUAGUUUAACAGUUUCCGCCCAAGGCGGAGAGCUCUGGGGAUUUCUGAGCAGAAACACCUGUGUUCAUGUCGCCAGAGAGAGAGAUUUGGGAACCUGAUCAAUUCCCAAUAAACUCCCCGUCAUCGGAAAAUAUUGACGUUAAAAGUCUUGCUAGCCCGAGCGCUCCGGCGCCACGUCUGUCAUUACUUUGCUGUAACCUGAAUGCGUAGACUCAGCUCUGUAACCGAAGCUGUAAUGGAACAAAGGCUCGCCUGCGUCGUCAUCGCUAUCUAGGCGACGCCCAGCGGUGACGAAGCAGCAAUCUGUGACUGCCCGAUCGCGAGAAUCACCAAGCACCAACCUGCAGCACACCCGGGUCGACGCCACAAUGGCUGCCUGCUCAUAUGUCGCGAGCAGGGUCGUCGCUCUAUUCCUGCUGUUACCAACAGGUCCCUCGGCGAACGAAGCUGACUUCAAAACCUCCAACUCGAUCCUGAACCUUCUGUCAUUUUAGGCCAAAGACAUAACUAACAACUCAUUUUAUGGUUUUUCUUUUCCUGUUAAUGAUCUUGUACAUACUUGUUUUGUUUUGUUUUAAAGCUUGUUCGAGACUUUACGCAGUGAAGCCAAGUCAUAAUGUUUUGAGUGGAAAGCUCUGAAUAACUGAAAGAAAACAGCACUGAUAAUCUGAAGGUUUGGGGGAUGUCGCAGAAAGGUUGAGUAUGGACAGAAGCAUUAAAUGAGAGAGAGAAAAGAGGGGAAUUUUGCCUUUUUAGUUUGGUUUCUUAACUAAAACACGAGAGAACACAAAAGGCAAAUGUGAAGGCUUAGUGUAUGUCAUAGGUGCAUGGAGGACAGGAAACGUUUGGUGUCAAAUCGUUGAGAGGAGAAGCAAGUAGUGAUGCAUGACAAGGUUGAUGCGUUUUGAUAGUCUUAAACAAAGAAAUAAAAAAAAAAAUUGCGGAAAACGUCAACCGACUCUCGGGUAUAGGCCAAGGUUGGCUAUCAGACCUCUUCCGUUGGUUUGAGUGGGACACGUCAUCAUGGUUCCUCAACUUGUUAAUACCCUUCAUUACGCUUUUGUUACCAAUUGCUGUAUUUGUGUGUUUUAGUUGUUAAAUUUUACAGUAUCUCAAAACAAAGUUAACCACGCUUUCUGCUUUUGUAUAUACCUGCUUGCCGGAAAAAAAACAACCCAAUAACAGCAAAUAUGACGACGAGAAUGAGCUAUAGCCGAAAGUAAGUGAUCACUUGCUGUGCCAUGGGCAAGGGGGCAUGUCACAACCAAAUUAAUCAGUGCCCAUGUCACUAGCAAGAGAUGCACACAGCAGUCAAUUAAGGGUUAACGAAAUCUCUGUCCAGAAGUUCCUGAGAAAAAAAUCCAAGCAAGAGCUGUAUAUAAUUUAUGCCCACGUCACAAACGAGAAACGAAACUUAAGACUGGUCAGGGUGAAAGGGGAUAGCCCUGCCAUAAAUCCCUGCAAUAAAACCCGGAGGGAGAACUGUAGAUAAUUGGUCAGCUGAAAUAAAAUGCUAGGGAAAACUAUAUAUAAUUGGUCAAAAAAUAAGCGUAAGCUCCUCACACGUAGCACACACGUAACAGGUAGAGAAACCUAACCCACUACCUUGUAACUUGAGGAGACAAAGAGCUGCUACCUGCCAAAAAAUUAAAAAUUCCAUAUAACGGUCCACGAUUGGGUAUCUCUGUCAAACACCUCUGCCUAUAAAUAGUUUAACGGUUUCCGCCCAAGGCAGAGAGCUCUGGGGAUUUCUGAGCAGAAACACCUGUUUUCAUGUUGCCAGAGAGAGAGAUUUGGGAACCUGAUCAAUUCCCAAUAAACUCCCCGUCAUCGGAAAAUAUUGACGUAGAAAAGUCUUGCUAGCCCGAGCGCUCCGGCGCCACGUCUGUCAUUACUUUGCUGUAACCUGAAUGUGUAGACUCAGCUCUGUAACCGAAGCUGUAAUGGAACAAAGGCUCGCCUGCGUCGUCAUCACUAUCUAGGCGACGUAAGUAAACAAACUCCUGUAACCUA